UACGUUCCCGGGCCUUGUACACACCGCCCGUCACACCACGAAAGCUGGUCGAACCAGAAGCCGGUGACCCAACCUUCGGGAGGGAACCGUCCAAGGUUUGGCUGGUGAUUGGGGUG
Molecule: ribosomal RNA, 116 nt
Filed under: uncultured bacterium
Lineage: Bacteria
Description: partial 16S ribosomal RNA
Rfam family: Bacterial small subunit ribosomal RNA
Source: RNAcentral